RNAcentral lists this transfer RNA (90 nucleotides) under Streptomyces sp. ADI97-07. RNAcentral's name for it is "tRNA-Ala". Lineage: Bacteria; Bacillati; Actinomycetota; Actinomycetes; Kitasatosporales; Streptomycetaceae. The record is from RNAcentral.
GCACGCUGUACGGCGGUUCCGGAACCGUCCGCAGCGGUUCGGACAAGGCGGUCGAGGUCACGGUGCCGGCGCUGUCCAGCAUCGUGCUCC